AGCGAACGCUGGCGGCAGGCUUAACACAUGCAAGUCGAGCGGGCAUCUUCGGGUGUCAGCGGCGGGCGGGUGAGUAACGCGUGGGGACGUGCCUUCAGGUUCGGAAUGACUCGGGGAAACCUGGGCUAAGACCGGAUACGCCCUGUGGGGGAAAGGUGUACUGCCGGAAGAUCGGCCCGCGUCUGAUUAGCUAGUUGGUGGGGUAACGGCCUACCAAGGCGACGAUCAGUAGCUGGGCUGAGAGGAUGAUCAGCCACACUGGUACUGAGACACGGCCCAGACUCCUACGGGAGGCAGCAGUGGGGAAUAUUGGACAAUGGGGGCAACCCUGAUCCAGCCAUGCCGCGUGAGUGAUGAAGGCCUUAGGGUUGUAAAGCUCUUUUAUCCGAGACGAUAAUGACGGUACCGGAGGAAUAAGCCCCGGCUAACUUCGUGCCAGCAGCCGCGGUAA
This 451-nucleotide ribosomal RNA is filed under the name uncultured bacterium. RNAcentral's name for it is "partial 16S ribosomal RNA". It matches the Rfam family "Bacterial small subunit ribosomal RNA", at positions 28 to 523 of the family's 1533-position model. The record is from RNAcentral.